Molecule: long non-coding RNA, 785 nt
Organism: Mesocricetus auratus (golden hamster)
Lineage: Eukaryota; Metazoa; Chordata; Mammalia; Rodentia; Cricetidae
Exons: 5
Source: RefSeq, a predicted model, not a curated record
CACACUUGCUUAUCAAGAAAAGAAGGCAGGCCGGGCGGUGGUGGCGCACGCCUUUAAUCCCAGCACUCGGGAGGCAGAGGCAGGCGGAUCUCUGUGAGUUCGAGGCCAGGCUAGACCGACAGCCUCCAAAACAAUCGGAGAAAUCCUGUCUUGUAAAAAAAGAAAAGAAGGCAGGCAGGGGACCUCGUUCUAUCUGGAUCGCCCAUUGGAAGACACUGCCGACUCUGAAUGAGUUCCAGGUUCCACUCCAUUCAUCUCAAGAUCAACCAUACCUUUGUCAGAAUGGAGAAGACUCAGCUACAUUGAGACCCCAAAGGGAAAGGAGAAUAAGGAAACCCCCAGAUGCCAAAGACAAAAGAGGAACUGAAAAUAUCAGCAAAGUUGAGAGUUGAACACCCUACCAGGAUAUGAAACAGAAGCUUCUCCUGAGCCAUCCAGCCUGGUUUCUAUAGCAUCAAAGAGACCCUCUUACAAACAGCAUGGAAAGGCAAGGAGCAACAACUGGAUUGUCACCUGACCUCUACGCUUUUUCCAUGGCACACACCCACCGGCACCUCCACCCGUGAAUGCACAUGCACUCCCUCCCAAGUAAUACUAAUCCAAAUGUCCUGGUCAACUAUGGAAGACAAACAAGACAGUGUACAUUUUUCAUGAAGAUUAUGAUGACAUCGAACAAAAGAAUUUCAUGAGCAUUCAACUCCAUUUUGAGAACACAAAAAGAGAUAGGAUUCCUGACAUCUCUGUCAGUCAAAGCACACUACUAAGCAAAGUUUAAUGAAAUAAAG